UACGGAGGGUGCGAGCGUUGUCCGGAAUCAUUGGGCGUAAAGGGCGCGUAGGUGGCGGCUUAAGCGUGCGGUGAAAGCUCGGGGCUCAACCCCGAGUCGGCCGUGCGAACUGAGUCGCUUGAGCACUGUAGAGGCAGGCGGAAUUCCUGGUGUAGCGGUGGAAUGCGCAGAUAUCAGGAGGAACACCGGUGGCGAAGGCGGGUCUCUGGGCAGUAACUGACGCUGGAGGAGCGAAAGCGUGGGGAGCGAACAGG
This 254-nucleotide ribosomal RNA is filed under the name uncultured bacterium. RNAcentral describes it as "partial 16S ribosomal RNA". It matches the Rfam family "Bacterial small subunit ribosomal RNA", at positions 524 to 776 of the family's 1533-position model. The record is from RNAcentral.